Molecule: transfer RNA, 78 nt
Filed under: Campylobacter jejuni
Lineage: Bacteria; Pseudomonadati; Campylobacterota; Epsilonproteobacteria; Campylobacterales; Campylobacteraceae
Description: tRNA-Arg
Rfam family: tRNA
About the family: Transfer RNA (tRNA) molecules are approximately 80 nucleotides in length. Their secondary structure includes four short double-helical elements and three loops (D, anti-codon, and T loops).
Source: RNAcentral
GCGUUCAUAGCUCAGCUGGAUAGAGCAACGGCCUUCUAAGCCGUAGGUCAGAGGUUCGAAUCCUCUUGGGCGUACCAC